RNAcentral lists this ribosomal RNA (426 nucleotides) under Megaselia cirriventris. RNAcentral describes it as "partial 16S ribosomal RNA". The record is from RNAcentral. Lineage: Eukaryota; Metazoa; Arthropoda; Insecta; Diptera; Phoridae.
UUUUAGAAAUUAAUUUAAAGUCUGACCUGCCCACUGAAUUUUUUUAAAUGGCCGCAGUAUUUUAACUGUGCAAAGGUAGCAUAAUCAUUAGUCUUUUAAUUAAAGGCUGGAAUGAAUGGUUGAAUGAAAUAUUAACUGUUUCAAUUAAAUUUAUAAUAAAAUUUUAUUUUUUAGUGAAAAAGCUAAAAUAUAUUUAAAAGACGAGAAGACCCUAUAAAUCUUUAUAUUUUAUAAAUUUUAAUUAUUUUGAAAAUUUUAAUUAUUAUUAUUUAAAAUAUUUUAUUGGGGUGAUAUUAAAAUUUAAAAAACUUUUAAUUUAUAAUUUACAUAAAUUAAUGAAUUAUUGAUCCAUAAAUUAUGAUUAUAAAAAUAAGUUACUUUAGGGAUAACAGCGUAAUUUUUUUAGAGAGUUCAUAUUGAUAAAAA